GAUCACUGUUGUCCAGUCUAUAUAGAUCUGAUAUGUUGUGUCAUUGUUUUAGAUGGCGGUGUGUGUGACAUCAUCAGUCGUUUGCUUUUCUCAGGCUCCGCCCACAACGCCGGCUUCGCUCUCAUUGCUGAGAAUGUUCUGGAUUCCUGUGUGUCAGCUCAGGACCAGGAAGUAACAAAGUAACAACUAUGCAGAGAAGAGAAGCUCCAUAUUAGAAGCUGCAGGGGACCCAUCAGAUGCCCAUUGAUCUGUGUGCAUUACCUGCUUCGUCUUUCACCAUGGCGGCCGCCUCUCUCCCUGGACAGGGCUGUGGCUGUCGGUGGGAUCAGGGACAGAGCCUGAUGAUCCUGACUGCUCUGCCUGCUGGACUCUGCUCUGCUGCAGCUGCUGCACAACACAUGGAGCAUUCCAUAGAGAGGAGUCUGCAGCCUCCACCUUACUGUGUGCAUUCCUGCUCCGCCACCACACGGGACAAACUCCAACCUGCACGUCACACACCUCCCUGUACACACAGGCGAUGGGUUAUAUCAUAAAAAAG
Long non-coding RNA from Hyla sarda, 538 nucleotides. RefSeq lists it as uncharacterized. The record is from RefSeq and is a predicted model, not a curated record. The transcript has 3 exons. Lineage: Eukaryota; Metazoa; Chordata; Amphibia; Anura; Hylidae.